This 71-nucleotide transfer RNA is filed under the name Camelus bactrianus (Bactrian camel). It matches the Rfam family "tRNA". From Rfam's summary of the family: Transfer RNA (tRNA) molecules are approximately 80 nucleotides in length. The record is from Rfam by way of RNAcentral. Lineage: Eukaryota; Metazoa; Chordata; Mammalia; Artiodactyla; Camelidae. RNAcentral also lists the same sequence under 2 other names.
GAGGGUGGAGCUCAGUGGUAGAGUGUGUGCUUAGCUUGUACGGGGUCCGGGUUCAAACCCCAGCACCUCCA